GGAGAAGUACCCAAGAGGCCGAAGGGGAGGCUUUGCUAAAGCUUUAGGCGGGGCAACCUGCGCGGGGGUUCGAAUCCCCCCUUCUCCGCCA
This 91-nucleotide transfer RNA is filed under the name Clostridiales bacterium. RNAcentral's name for it is "tRNA-Ser". It matches the Rfam family "tRNA". Rfam says of the family: Transfer RNA (tRNA) molecules are approximately 80 nucleotides in length. Their secondary structure includes four short double-helical elements and three loops (D, anti-codon, and T loops). The record is from RNAcentral. Lineage: Bacteria; Bacillati; Bacillota; Clostridia; Eubacteriales. RNAcentral also lists the same sequence under 1 other name.